GACCAGCUGCUGCCGGUAGUCUGUCCGACACCGUUGCCACCGCAUCAUAUCAUCAUCAUCUUCAUCGUCGUUUUAGUAAUAUAAAUAUAAUAUAGUGCAGUACUUGCGUCGGAUUAAUUUACCAGAAAAAUUCCAACAGAUUUACAACCAAGUAAACCUCUAAACAUCAAACAGACAUGACGUACUACUCUACCAGGUGCACGCCCACCGUACGACCGGCAUCCGAUUUCAACGCUAACGUCGACGCCGAAAACCUGAGGAAAGCAAUGAAAGGAUUUGGAACCGACGAACAAACCAUCAUCGAUAUCCUGGCCCGAAGAUCUAACACCCAAAGACAGGAAAUCAAGGACGCGUUCAAGACCCUCUACGGAAAGGACUUGAUUGACAAUUUGAAGAGCGAACUCGGUGGGAAUUUCGAAAACGCCAUUGUGGCUCUGAUGACUCCACUUCCGGAAUUCUACGCCAAAGAACUUCACGACUCCAUUACGGGUUUGGGCACUGACGAAGAAGCUAUUGCGGAAAUCCUGGGCACGCUCAGCAAUUACGGUGUGAGAACCAUAUCGGCCGUGUACGAAAAAUUGUACGGUAGACCGUUGGAGGACGACUUAAAGGGCGACACUUCGGGAUCUUUCCAGAGAUUGCUGGUGUCUUUGUGUUGCGCAAACCGCGAGGAAGACGUUGAAGUCGAUCGUAGCGCCGCCGUCGCCGACGCCGAGUCUUUGAUCGCAGCAGGCGAAUCUCAAUGGGGCACCGACGAAUCUGCUUUCAACGCCAUUUUGGUUAGCCGGUCCUAUCCUCAGCUAAGGGCCAUCUUCGAAGAAUACGAGAAUUUGACCGGCAAGGACAUUGUGGAAACCAUCAAAGGCGAGACGUCCGGCGCUUUGGAACACGGUUUCUUGACAAUCGUGAAAAGCGCCAAGAAAAAGAGCGACUACUAUGCGGAACGCUUGGAAAGUUCCAUGGCCGGUAUGGGAACCAACGAUGGUCAGCUGAUUAGAAUCAUCGUGGGAAGAUCCGAAAUUGAUUUGGGAGAUAUCAAACAGGCCUACGAGAAAAUUUAUGGCACCCCGUUGGCCGACAGAAUUGCUGGAGAUACCUCUGGGGAUUACAAGCGCCUGAUAUUAGCACUUGUAGGCCAAUAAUGCUUUGCAAUAUGCAUGCGAGGUUGGUUGUUCUUAUUUUACCUGUACCGCCAUAUUUGCCACUUCAUAGCGAAUGUAGUUCGGACUUCAAAAAAGUACUCAUCACACUCGUGACACAAUAAAUCGUUCAUUUUUUAAUUUACAUAAUAUUUUGUUUAUAAUUAUAUUAUAAACUGCACUAUUAGUUGUUUGGUUGUUUUUAAUAUGUAAUAUUUUACAUCUACACGUUUAAUUAAUAUUACACAUUGAUACGGCUACAUCAAAGUUUACUAGUUUAUAUUUUGAUCAAGAUAUAUUAUUAUAAAAUUAUAUUAUGUUUUGUUAAUUUUUUUACAUUUUUCACAAAUGUUAAGUUUAAAUAUUUUUGCCAACAUUUUUUU
Molecule: RNA transcript, 1522 nt
Organism: Adelges cooleyi (spruce gall adelgid)
Lineage: Eukaryota; Metazoa; Arthropoda; Insecta; Hemiptera; Adelgidae
Gene name: annexin B9-like
Exons: 10
Source: RefSeq, a predicted model, not a curated record